UUAACCCUACGGGACGCAGCAGUGGGGAAUAUUGCACAAUGGGGGAAACCCUGAUGCAGCGACGCCGCGUGAGUGAAGAAGUAUUUCGGUACGUAAAGCUCUAUCAGCAGGGAAGAAAGAAAGUCCUUUGGACUUUGGACGGUACCUGACCAAGAAGCCCCGGCUAACUACGUGCCAGCAGCCGCGGUAAUACGUAGGGGGCAAGCGUUAUCCGGAUUUACUGGGUGUAAAGGGAGCGUAGACGGCGCGGCAAGUCUGAAGUGAAAGGCAGGGGCUUAACCCCUGAACUGCUUUGGAAACUGCCA
RNAcentral lists this ribosomal RNA (305 nucleotides) under uncultured bacterium. Its description in RNAcentral is "bacterial SSU rRNA". It matches the Rfam family "Bacterial small subunit ribosomal RNA", at positions 333 to 638 of the family's 1533-position model. The record is from RNAcentral.